RNAcentral lists this ribosomal RNA (263 nucleotides) under uncultured archaeon. Its description in RNAcentral is "partial 16S ribosomal RNA". It matches the Rfam family "Archaeal small subunit ribosomal RNA", at positions 718 to 982 of the family's 1478-position model. The record is from RNAcentral.
CACGACUACAUUAGAUACCCCCGUAGUCCUAGCCGUAAACGAUACUCGCUAGGUGUCGGCCACGGUGCGACCGUUGUCGGUGCCGUAGGGAAGCCGUGAAGCGAGCCACCUAGGAAGUACGGCCGCAAGGCUGAAACUUAAAGGAAUUGGCGGGGAGCGACCACAACGCGUGGAGCCUGCGGUUUAAUUGGAUUCAACGCCGGACAUCUCACCAGGGCGACAGCAGAAUGAUGGCCAGGUUGAUGACCUUGCUUGACAAGCUG